RNAcentral lists this ribosomal RNA (460 nucleotides) under uncultured bacterium. RNAcentral's name for it is "partial 16S ribosomal RNA". It matches the Rfam family "Bacterial small subunit ribosomal RNA", at positions 338 to 795 of the family's 1533-position model. The record is from RNAcentral.
CCUACGGGUGGCAGCAGUGAGGAAUAUUGGUCAAUGGACGAGAGUCUGAACCAGCCAAGUAGCGUGCAGGAUGACUGCCCUAUGAGUUGUAAACUUCUUUUAUAUGGGAAUAAAAUGUUCCACGUGUGGGAUUUUGUAUGUACCAUAUGAAUAAGGAUCGGCUAACUCCGUGCCAGCAGCCGCGGUAAUACGGAGGAUCCGAGCGUUAUCCGGAUUUAUUGGGUUUAAAGGGAGCGUAGGUGGAUUGUUAAGUCAGUUGUGAAAGUUUGCGGCUCAACCGGAAAAUUGCAGUUGAAACUGGCAGUCUUGAGGAAAGUAGAGGUGGGCGGAAGUCGUGGUGUAGCGGGGAAAUGCUUAGAUCUUACGAAGAAAUCCGAUUGAGAAGGCAGUUCACUGGACUGCAACUGACACUGAGGCUCGAAAGUGUGGGUAUCAAACAGGAUUAGAUACCCUAGUAGUC